GUUUCCACCACUCAAUGUGAAUUUCUGGUUGCAAAGUGACUUCCUAUAUUUUCUGAAAUUAUAUAUAUUAAUACAAGAACAAAAGGGUAAAAUAUAAAGUUUCUGCAGAAUAUCUAAUAUCAAAUAUUCAAAUCAUUUUGAUUGUCCAUUGAAAGAGAUGCAAACUCAAUGGCUAUGCUUAACAAAAAAGUUCACUUUCUGAAUAUAUUCAAAAUUUUAAAAUGUAAAGUAACAUAUCAUACGUGUAAAUCAUUCGCAAACAAAUUUCUAAUUUUCCUAGACAUGAGCAGAAAAAUCUGAAUAGACCGUAC
This 311-nucleotide unclassified non-coding RNA is filed under the name Hevea brasiliensis (rubber tree). Lineage: Eukaryota; Viridiplantae; Streptophyta; Magnoliopsida; Malpighiales; Euphorbiaceae. The record is from RNAcentral.